GGGGUUGUGGCUCAGUGGUAGAGCGCUUGCCUAGCACCUGCAAAACGCUGGGUUCGAUCCUCAGCACCA
This 69-nucleotide transfer RNA is filed under the name Ictidomys tridecemlineatus (thirteen-lined ground squirrel). RNAcentral describes it as "Spermophilus tridecemlineatus (thirteen-lined ground squirrel) tRNA". It matches the Rfam family "tRNA". Rfam says of the family: Transfer RNA (tRNA) molecules are approximately 80 nucleotides in length. Lineage: Eukaryota; Metazoa; Chordata; Mammalia; Rodentia; Sciuridae. The record is from Rfam by way of RNAcentral.